RNAcentral lists this ribosomal RNA (251 nucleotides) under Chromatiaceae bacterium. RNAcentral's name for it is "partial 23S ribosomal RNA". It matches the Rfam family "Bacterial large subunit ribosomal RNA", at positions 2697 to 2925 of the family's 2925-position model. The record is from RNAcentral. Lineage: Bacteria; Pseudomonadati; Pseudomonadota; Gammaproteobacteria; Chromatiales; Chromatiaceae.
GUGGACGUACCCCUGGUGUUCCGGUUGUCACGCCAGUGGCAUUGCCGGGUAGCUACGUACGGAAGGGAUAACCGCUGAAAGCAUCUAAGCGGGAAGCCCCACCCAAGAUUAGUUCUCACUAGACUCUUGAAGUCUCUGUAGGUCCGUCGAAGACUACGACGUUGAUAGGCAGGGUGUGGAAGCACAGUAAUGUGUGAAGCUAACCUGUACUAAUUGACCGUGUGGCUUGACCAUAUAUCACUCAAGCAGUU